AACCAAAUCGAGAAAACCUAGGCGGAGAAGCAUCACAGGUCCGUAUUUCUUGGAGAGAUCGUGAAGAGAUCUAUGAAGCUUUCCUCGUAACUGGUGUAGGUUUCCGAUGAUCGGAAGCUUCGGUGGGCUUGGAGGAAGAUUCUGUUUCGAGUCUUUGAUUUUUUUCAUGAAUAUAAACGUUAGAAGAGCGAAAGGAAGAAAAAACAAGAUCAAAUAUAGAAGACUCGACAUAGUUUUGGUUUUCCUCUGUUUUUGUGUUCUGUUUUUGGUUACGGAGAAACAUAGUAUUUAGAUUUCAGACUAUAAAAACAAAACGACGUCUGUACGACGGCAACAUAAAAGUCGCAUGUUUGGACUUCUUGUGAGGAUAAGCUUUGAAAAUUGUCUUCAUAAUGUGUGAACCUCAACUAGUUAAACACUGUUCCAAAAUCUAAUUCUAAAUUAUCCAAAAUUGUCUUCAAAUAAGUACCCAAAAAAAAUACAUCUCAUUCAUCUCCUAUGUGUAUGCUAUAUAAUGUUUUUGAACGAGGUAUUAUGCUUACAGAGUAUUGUUUCAUUCAUUUGUUUUAAGGAAAAACAUUACACGGGUGGGUGAUUAUGUACAUAGUUUUUAAUAUAAGAGAUUGUAACUUGUAAUCUUUAUUUUAAUCAUAGUCUAUACAAUUUUUCCUUUAACAUAUUAUGUGUUCAUUCUUUUGAAAAAACUACAUAUUAUGUGUUUAAGUGUUUUUAGUUCUUACUCUCACAAUUUAUGAUGAAAUACAAAAUCAUACUGUUUUAGUUUUCCUCUGUUUCUUGUUCUGUUUUUUUUUUUUUUUUUUUUUUUGGUAUAAGAGCACAACAGAGUAUUAAGACAAUAAAACAAAGAGUUUAUGACGUCUUUACCACGGCAACAUUACAUAUAAUUGUUUUUGAGGAUAAGCUUUGAGAGGUGCAAAAUCAAACUUUCAAAAACCAAUGGGCCUCGUCAACAUGUCACUUUCUUUAUUUCAACAACCAUUACAUAAGUUUCAUUCGAAGAUGAAGAUUUUCUCUUUCUUUAUUAGCUGUUUAAAUGAUGAAGAACUGGGAGUAGCUUAAGAGGAACUUUCUUAAUAAUUGUGGCAUGGCCAGCUUCUUCCAUGUCAAAACCUUUAUCAUCUUCAGGCAAUCUCCAAUCAAAGAAGUAAAGCAAGUUGAGGAGUCCCAACUCAAUAGUGGUACUCGCAAAAGCUAUCCCUGGACAUAUCCUCCGACCAGAACCAAAUGGUAACAGCUCGAAGUUAUUUCCUUUGUAGUCAAUAGGACUAUCGAUAAACCUGUCCGGAUUAAACUCCUCAGGGUUUUGCCAGAGAUCAGGGCUUCGUCCUAUCGACCAUGCGUUAACCAGAAGAAUUGUUUUACUAGGAAUGUCGUAGCCUUGGAUCUUGAUAUUAGCCAUUGUUUCUCGUGGAAGUAAAAGAGGAGCUGGUGGGUGUAGUCUGAAGGUUUCUUUAAUCACAAGCUUCAAGUAUGGAAGCUUAUCAACAUCUUCUUCCUUGAUUCUUUCGUUUUGUUUGAUCCCAAUGCAUGUUCGGAUCUCAUCUUGAACUUUCUUCAUCACCCGCGGGUUGCUAAUAAGCUCGGCCAUUGCCCAAAUCAAGGUGAUGGCACUUGAGUCUACUCCAGCCAGAUAUAUAUCCUUGGUCACCAACGACAUAAAAUGGUUAAGGACAUAUCUUAAGAUUACCAAAUCAAAAAGUAUAUAUUAAAGAUCUAAUUUUUAUAGAUAGUUCCUUUGUGUUUUGACAUAAUAUCAACGUUUGCGUUUGAGAAAAGGUAAAGAAUCCUAUAUCGAUUAACAUGAAAGACUUACUCUAAUUUUGUUAUAAAAAACAAAAAAAAAGCCUUAUGGUAAUAUACUUCAGAGAGGUUGAAUUAUAUCUAAAUGCUUACUUGGAUGAUUCCUUUGAGGUUAUCAAUGGUGAGCUUGAAAGAUUUAUCUUGUUCUUGUUCAUUUAUCAUAUCUAAGAGCGAGUCGACUAUAUCCGGACGAUCGGGAGUUGUUUCUUCUAUAGGGUUUCUUAAGUGAUCAUCAAUAAUAUGAUUCAACAAAGUAUCAACCUCCACGAAAACUCCUUGAAGUUUCUUAUGUCGUCCUGACACAAAGUCCAUAUACCAUCCCACCCCAGCAGGGAAAAGAUCAGAGUUACUUAGAGACGAAACUAGCUGGACAUCAAACAUGAGUUCCUCGAUCUUGUCUUUAUUGACAUGCCUGUUCUCCUCCAAACGCUGCCCAAAGGUGGAUCUGAAUAUGAUACUUCCGACUAGAUAGAAAAUUGUUUGGUUCAAAUCCACUGUACUCUUCUUCUGAGCCGAUUCUUUAAGUUUCUUGACCAUCAAAUCACUCUCUUCUUCUCUUAUGUACCUAAAAGAUCGAACCUUUAUCGCUCUGAAAAACUUUACCACAGAGACUUUGCGCAGUUCACUCCAAACCUCACCAUAUGGCACAAAGGCGAUGUCUUGACCAUCACGCCAUAAGUUUGAUGAGGCGGUGGUCCUAGGUCUGCUACAACAGUCAAGGUCAUGUACUUUAAAAGCUUCUUCAGCUGCUUCACUCGAUGAGAUGACAACCAAAUCGAGAAAGCCUAGGUGGAGAAGCAUCACAGGUCCGUAUUUCUUGGAGAGAUCGUGAAGAGAUCUAUGAAGCAUCCCUCGUAGCUGGUGUAGGUUUCCGAUGAUCGGAAGCUUCGAUGGGCUUGGAGGAAGAUUCUGUUUCGAAUCUUUGAUUUUAUUUCUGAAUAUUAACGUUAGAAGAGCGAAAGGAAGAAAA
Molecule: long non-coding RNA, 2791 nt
Filed under: Capsella rubella
Lineage: Eukaryota; Viridiplantae; Streptophyta; Magnoliopsida; Brassicales; Brassicaceae
Description: long non-coding RNA (CRUB_LNC002477)
Source: RNAcentral